This 71-nucleotide transfer RNA is filed under the name Marmota monax (woodchuck). RNAcentral's name for it is "tRNA.Ala". The record is from RNAcentral. Lineage: Eukaryota; Metazoa; Chordata; Mammalia; Rodentia; Sciuridae.
GGGGUUGUAGGUCAGUGGUACAGUGCUUGCCUUGCAUGCAUGAGGCCCUGGGUUUGGUCCCCAGCACCACA